Ruditapes philippinarum (Manila clam) is the source of this 932-nucleotide long non-coding RNA. RefSeq lists it as uncharacterized. The transcript has 3 exons. Lineage: Eukaryota; Metazoa; Mollusca; Bivalvia; Venerida; Veneridae. The record is from RefSeq and is a predicted model, not a curated record.
GCUAUUGUUAUGAAAUCUAUUUAUAGCUACAGAUCUGUUUACGAGUUCCAAUCAUUUAACGUUAUAAUAUUAUCAUUUGUGGUACAUUAUAUGUAUCAAAAUCACGAGUUUUUAAUAGUGCUUUAACAUUUAAUCAUAGUGUCAGAAAAGGGAAAGAAAAACAUAAUUAACCUAUAAUUCGAAACUACAGCCACGUGGAUGGAAAUUCAAAUUCGUAGGCGUUACGUUUUGGCUGUCGGUCAGGAAUUGGGAUGCAUUGAUAAAGUGAAUAUUUUAGAUUUUCUUGAACAAAAAGGUAGAUCCAGUUCCAAGUGUUGGACAUGCUCUCAAAGGUCGGAGGGACAGAAACACGUGAUAAUGUAAAAAGAAACAUGGCAAAUGAAAAUGAUAUCACAAACGCUAUUGGACAUUAACAUAUCCUCCGGACAGACGAGGGAUGGUUAGAGAAGGUCAUAUCUAAAAGCAUCACACCUCUAAAUUCGUGCUAAUUCUCAUGGAUAUUUAAAAGUAUAACUUUGUGAAGUAACUAAAAGGAAGUAAUUUAUACCUUAGUGACAAUUAUCAAAAGGAGGUCAAAAUAUGCAAAAUGGCACUAAAUGUUUUAGUAAUGCUGUAGAAAUAUAGUUAAAAUACUGAAAAUCUGUCAUUAAUUGCUUGAAACAUUAUUAUCCGAAUCUUUUAACUUUUCUUAAAAUUAUAAUAUUUUCAUUAUUUUGUUUGAUAAGGCAAACUUUGAUAGAAAUGUACAUACAUUGUUUUGUUCUUUAAUAUUUGUAUAUGUUUUCUUAGUUUCAUUUAUGUCAUUGUUUUUGUAAUACUUUUUGUUUUGUUAUUAACUUAUUUUAUGUUUUAUUUUGUUUAAUUUAUGAAAAGUAUUUAGCCUUGCAGAAUUUACUAAAAUUGUAUGUAUCAGCUUAAAAUUGGAACUUUUA